UACUGUGAGAUACUCUGUGGAUGGCGCACU
Molecule: non-coding RNA, 30 nt
Filed under: Rattus norvegicus (Norway rat)
Lineage: Eukaryota; Metazoa; Chordata; Mammalia; Rodentia; Muridae
Source: RNAcentral